Molecule: ribosomal RNA, 450 nt
Filed under: Burkholderia sp. MRhNF1(20)
Lineage: Bacteria; Pseudomonadati; Pseudomonadota; Betaproteobacteria; Burkholderiales; Burkholderiaceae
Also listed under: 2 other names
Description: bacterial SSU rRNA
Rfam family: Bacterial small subunit ribosomal RNA
Source: RNAcentral
UUAACAUGCAGUCGAACGGCAGCGCGGGAGCAAUCCUGGCGGCGAGUGGCGAACGGGUGAGUAAUACAUCGGAACGUGUCCUGUAGUGGGGGAUAGCCCGGCGAAAGCCGGAUUAAUACCGCAUACGCUCUACGGAGGAAAGGGGGGGAUCUUAGGACCUCUCGCUACAGGGGCGGCCGAUGGCGGAUUAGCUAGUUGGUGGGGUAAAGGCCUACCAAGGCGACGAUCCGUAGCUGGUCUGAGAGGACGACCAGCCACACUGGGACUGAGACACGGCCCAGACUCCUACGGGAGGCAGCAGUGGGGAAUUUUGGACAAUGGGGGCAACCCUGAUCCAGCAAUGCCGCGUGUGUGAAGAAGGCCUUCGGGUUGUAAAGCACUUUUGUCCGGAAAGAAAUCAUCCUGGUUAAUACCUGGGGUGGAUGACGGUACCGGAAGAAUAAGCACCGG